GAUGAACGCUGGCGGCGUGCUUAACACAUGCAAGUCGAACGGUGACGAGGAGCUUGCUCCUCUGAUCAGUGGCGAACGGGUGAGUAACACGUGGGUAACCUACCUGGAAGACAGGGAUAACGAUUCGAAAGGGUCGCUAAUACCUGAUAAUAUCCAUCUGCCGGAUGGCGGAGGGAAGAAAGGGGAAACCCGCUUUCAGAUGGGCCCGCGUCCCAUCAGCUAGUUGGUAAGGUAAAGGCUUACCAAGGCGACGACGGGUAGCCGGUCUGAGAGGAUGUACGGCCACACUGGGACUGAGAUACGGCCCAGACUCCUACGGGAGGCAGCAGUUGGGAAUCUUAGGCAAUGGACGAAAGUCUGACCUAGCGACGCCGCGUGAGGGAAGAAGGCCUUCGGGUUGUAAACCUCUGUCAUGGGGAAGAAGGAAGUGACGGUACCCAACGAGGAAGCCCUGCUAACUACGUG
RNAcentral lists this ribosomal RNA (465 nucleotides) under uncultured bacterium. RNAcentral's name for it is "bacterial SSU rRNA". It matches the Rfam family "Bacterial small subunit ribosomal RNA", at positions 28 to 507 of the family's 1533-position model. The record is from RNAcentral.